UAGGGAAUCUUCGGCAAUGGACGAAAGUCUGACCGAGCAACGCCGCGUGAGUGAAGAAGGUUUUCGGAUCGUAAAACUCUGUUGUUAGAGAAGAACAAGGACGUUAGUAACUGAACGUCCCCUGACGGUAUCUAACCAGAAAGCCACGGCUAACUACGUGCCAGCAGCCGCGGUAAUACGUAGGUGGCAAGCGUUGUCCGGAUUUAUUGGGCGUAAAGCGAGCGCAGGCGGUUUCUUAAGUCUGAUGUGAAAGCCCCCGGCUCAACCGGGGAGGGUCAUUGGAAACUGGGAGACUUGAGUGCAGAAGAGGAGAGUGGAAUUCCAUGUGUAGCGGUGAAAUGCGUAGAUAUAUGGUGGAACACCAGUGGCGAAGGCGGCUCUCUGGUCUGUAACUGACGCUGAUGCUCGAAAGCGUGGGGAGCAAACAGG
Molecule: ribosomal RNA, 429 nt
Filed under: Gemmatimonadota bacterium
Lineage: Bacteria; Pseudomonadati; Gemmatimonadota
Description: Gemmatimonadetes bacterium partial 16S ribosomal RNA
Rfam family: Bacterial small subunit ribosomal RNA
Source: RNAcentral